AUAAUUAGAAGCAGUUUCCAGAUCAAAGGAAACACUAUUACACUGCUCAGGGAUCAGUCCACAAUUAGAGUGCUGUAUUCAAUUUUCAUUCUCAUAUUCUAAGAAUAAUGUUGGUAAACUGGACUCUAUAUCCAGAGAAAGGUAACCAGCGUGGUAUCUCUAAAGUACCAGAACAGAAAGUUGAAGAAGAUGCUGGUUUUAUCUAUUUUUAUCUUUCACCUCAAACCUGCCUCAUCUUCUGUAUUCCCGCUGCACGCAGCAGGAAUACAACUACCGAGUCACCCACGCUAGAAACCUGGGGAGGUCACGCUGCGUCCUUCGCUAACACUCCGGUCUUCAACUGGUCACUAAAUCUUGCUGAUUCUCUAACCCAAACACCUCACGUCAGUCACAUUUUCUGCAUCACCACGGCCUUAGAUUCGGUCCUCCCCAUUCUGUCCCGAGGUUAUCACUAAUAAUCUACCUGGUCUCCCAGUCUCAGCUUUACUCUUACAAAACCACUCUCCAUAUAGCAGAUACAGUGACUUUCCUGUACCCAAAUCUAACCUAGUUUAAAAUCUUUGAUUACUUCCAGUCAUCUUCAGAAUAAUGUUUAAAUCCACCUUCAUGGUUUACAAGCCCCCUGACUACCUAUUUAUUUCUUUGUGCACCAGGUACUUACUAAUCGUCUAUUAUGUGCUAAGCAAUGAGGCCAAAAGGAGGAAUGAGCCAGACAAGAUGCUGUCACUCAUGGAGCUUAUGAACUAAUAACUUCAUCUCCUGCUGUUGUCCCAAAGUUCCAGCGACACAGGAACAACCAGCAUUUCUUCAACUAUACCAUGUGAAUUCAUACAUCUGUGCCCGUGUAUAUUAAAGACUGGCCCAUUGCUUCUUCUGUAUUUGUCCCUUCCUCCAUAUUCCUGUACUGCUCUGUAUCUGUCUGCAAAUUUUUAUGUACUCCUCAAGACUCAGCUGCAAAUGUCUCUUCUCUGAAGCCUUUCCUGUAACCCUCACUCGGGCAGGGUUGGUUAUUCCUUUCUCCAUGUCAGCCGUGAACCGCCAACAUACUUCUUUUACACUGAACUGCAAUUAUAUAAUUAAACGUAUGUCUUUCACUGGGUGAUGACUUACAAAUGUCUUAUUUAUCCUUGAGAUCUUAGAAUCUAUUGUAUCCCCUCAGAACAGUGUCUGAGGGGAUACAAUAAGCUCAAUUAAUAAUUAUGAAACUGAAUAACAUGAUUGGUUACAUGAAUGAAUUUUUUAAAGGGUUAUGACAGAUAUUUCUUCAAAUACACUGAACUACUUAGGUGGGAGAGAAAUUUGUGCUUUUUUAAUGUUGCUACUGACAUCAUAAGUAACAACUAUGGCUAUAAAUUAAGAGAAGUACAACAGAGGGAGAAUUCUAGUGGGGUGAUUUGAAUCGUCUAGCACUGGAAAUCAGCUCCCUACCAGAGGAUGUGCUGAAGUGGAUGUUGUAGAAGGAACAGGCAUAUGAUGCUGGAGAGAGAAAAACAAACAUGAAAGUAGGUCAAAGGUUCCCUUAGAAGUCACCAGAAAACAGAAACUAGAAUACAAAGAAAAGGGGACUAAUCCUUUGAGAAGGACACUUGGCAUUAGGAAAACUAAUUUGAAAAAGGAGACAAAGGGCUCAGGUAUUAAGAGAAAGGCAGAGGAGGGGUUCAUUUAAGACAGUCUAGGUAUUCUUGGUAAAAUGGAAGCUCCUCUUAAAAAGAGAAAAAAAUUGUACUGAGAAUGUGGGAGAAGAAGAUAUUUUAGAAUCGGUCACUAAGGUAGAGCUUAAGUCAAUGAGACAUUCCAGACAUGAAAAUCUGUUUUAGUUUUAAAGGCCUAUAAAACAGGCAAUUUCAUUCUUUUCAUCCAAAUUUUAAAUCCCACUGUCCAGAAAUUCUUCCUGUUUUCUAACCAACUCAUUCAUAUUUCAGGUUAAGUAUAUUUGAUUUUUGAAAAUGAUUUUUGAAAAACGGCUUAAUUUCUCUACCAGAAGAUUUACUAAUUCAAGGCAAGAACUAAUAAUAGCAUUGCUACUCUCAUUAAUAAAUAGCAACUAUUACAACAGAGAGGCCUAUAAAAUUAGGAAUAAACAGAAAAAAUAGAGUAAUUCAACGUGGUGACUAGCUGUGUAUUUUGUAGAUCUUCUGUUGAAAGAACAAAGGAUAGAAUCCUUAAUUCUUAUGGUUGAAAAGAGUAUUUGAGAACAGAACAUGUAAUCGAAACUUCACCUUGAUCCCAAACAGCAUCUGGUAACAUUCUAGAGCUGCUCAGAGAGCUCUGCCCGCACAUCUGCGGUGAUGGGAAACUUGGUGCUCCCUGAGAGUCCAUUUAAUUUCUAUAUAUUUGGAAAGUCCUUCCUGCAUGCUAUGCCCAAAACAAAACAAAGCAAACAAACAAAGAAACCUGUGUCUAACUUCUCCCCAUUGUUAGUAACUGUCCUCUGGAAAAAGACA
Molecule: long non-coding RNA, 2444 nt
Organism: Phyllostomus discolor (pale spear-nosed bat)
Lineage: Eukaryota; Metazoa; Chordata; Mammalia; Chiroptera; Phyllostomidae
Exons: 3
Source: RefSeq, a predicted model, not a curated record